Long non-coding RNA from Cavia porcellus (domestic guinea pig), 223 nucleotides. RefSeq lists it as uncharacterized. NCBI's taxonomy places the organism in Eukaryota, Metazoa, Chordata, Mammalia, Rodentia, Caviidae. The transcript has 2 exons. The record is from RefSeq and is a predicted model, not a curated record.
ACCGCAAAGUCCGUUCCGCUGCGCGGUACACGUUCCUAGCUUGCCCUAUGAACAGCAUGAAGCAGGAGGGAGCUACUCUGGAUGGCUCCGGUUGCUUAGAGGGGUUCGACUGGAUGGGCUCCGAAGCCUUGCUGCUUUAUUUACUCGUAACCACGGGCAAGUUCCUUUGUUUUUAUUUACAAGUAGCAUAGCUAGGAAAAUUAAAUGGGAAAGUGAAUACAAA